AAGCAACACCCAGAGCCGGAGGAACGACGGUCCGGUGGCCCCGACAGGAGAAGGAGGUGGGCAGGUACUCAGCAGCCAGGACUGCGUGACAUUCUGAGUCUGCUGCCACGAGGAGGCCUGCUAGCACAGAGCAGAAGCCGGGGGUCUGUGUGGUGACGACAGCCCCAGGAGAUGGCCACCCACCUUGCACGGCGUCCCCUCUGCAGCCACAGCCUGGUCAUCGAUGGACAGAAUGUCCCAGCCCAGCCUGGGACCCAGGCUCCCCUCCAGCCCACUCUCACCCACCACUGGCUGGGAGAGCCCGCGGGCUCAGCGCUGGGAGGAACGCCUUUAUCCGCAGACUGGUACCCGGCGACCGGGGACUCGGUCCCUGACCACUCACCCCUCCCUUCUGGCCAUCUGAUUGCCAGCAGCUGUGACAAUCCGUACUGAGCCCACCCCUGCCUCCCCAGAGCUCAGCCCUGCCGUCUGCUGCCUCCUCCAUGCACACCUGGGCACAGGUAAGCACCCCUCCCCUAUUCACUCCCAGAUCUCAGAGCGCCCCCACAUGACGAGGUGCCGGACUCCUUGUGGUGUCAGGGAUCCCAGGCCUGGUACAAUGAGGCACCCACCCCAGGUGGACACACCGUCCCCUCACCCAACAGGACACUAAACAUCUAUCCGUGCAUUUGGAGGUUUUCAUGGACAUCUAUUAAGCAGCCAUAACACGUGACGAGCUGACUCCACUUUGCUGCCAGGAUCCCUGCCACUGAGUCUGGUGUAUCCCGCCACAGACGGAAACUGGGGACUGAUUUCCUGAAUCUAAGCCCGACACUGCGUCUGUCCUCAGUAAAGCCCCGCUCCCCGGCUGUGGCCACCUGGAGCGAGCCCAGGCCUCCUUGGAACCCAUGUGGCCGCAAGCUGGCCCUUCCCGGCGCAAGACCACACAAGGUGCCUGUCCUGCUCCAACACUCACGGUGCUGCCCAGCCACAUUGGACCCGGGUCACAUCCACAGCCCUGCCCCAGACGGGGGAAAUACCUGGGGGCCAGGGUCAGACAAGCCUCAGGUGAAGGGUGCGACCCCAGCAGCUCUGCAGACACGAGUCAGAAGCACUCCUCUCAGGGGGCAGGCUGGCCGGAGUCUCCGGCCCACAGCUGCUUCACCACCGGGAGAUUCUUGUCUCUCAGCUCAGAUAAUUACAGUCCUCGGUGCUCGGUUAACACCCAUGUCAUUGCAGGGUGCCGGAGCACACAGGGGCUGAGCGAGGCAAGUUAAACAACAGCAUUUGACAAGUGGGCCCUCCCCUGUGGCACCGUGCUGAGCCAGGCUGAAGGGACAGAGGCCAGGCCUUGCCGGCUACCCCCCCGGGAGGAGCCCUCUCCUCGAGGCAAGAGGCACAUGAUGAGUAAGACAGUAGCCUUCUUGGGAGAAGCCCAAAGUGGGUGAAGGGAAACCAUCAGGGAGCCAGAAAGGGGGAGGGGUCGGGCAGGCCCCUGGUAGCCACAGGGGCGGGUUCAGGGGCACAGCCGCCCCAGAGCCGCCUGAGCAAGUGAGAAGCAUCCUCCCUGGGUGUAAAGCAGCACCCCACUUCCCCGUGCCUGGGAGAUGGUGAGGUCACAGAGGACUGUGCCCAGCACUUCCCACACCUCACUGCCUCGGCCCCUCUCAGCCUUCCCACACCCCAGGGAGCUGCACCCCAAGAUAUCAGUGCUGGGCCCCACAUGCAGGGGCUGCUGAGGGGACACCACAGGCCACCGAGUCCCCAGCUGGCUUCAUCACCAAGAAUUCAUCCCGCAUCCCCUGCCCCAGGAAAGAUUCCAGGUCUCAUGGUCAACAAACAGUAGUGCGGAGCCAGAGCCCUGAGUCCACUUGCUGCAAACAGAGGGUCUGCAGAAUCCUAGCACCAACCACUCACAUGGUCCUGCAUCUCAUCACCUGCACCACACCGCGCCCACCCACCUCACCCCAGGACCAAACUCAGGCCUCCCACGGAGGCCCAGAGACACGGCACACUGAGCCGUGACCCAGCAAGGCUCACCACACAUCAGUCGCCAGCCCCGUGCAGGCACCUGUGGCUGCUCCCAUGUAACCUGCCUCACAGUUGUCGCACCUGUCCUAUUUCAUAGGUAGGAGGCUCACUGACUUGUGGGAAGUGGUAGAUUCGGGAUUUAAAGCCAAGUCUGACUUUCUCCACACCCCACAGGACAUCUGAGGACAGUCCAAGCAUCUUGUUGUUUUUGAGGGCAGUCCAAGGAGACCCCCAGCCAGCUCUCCCUGAGCCCCCCGUCCUCAGGGUAACCCCCAGCUGCUUGCUUACCCUCCUCCUGUGCCAAGGUAGGGGAUGGGGACGGCUCCCCCAAAUCCCACCCAAAGCGAGGUGCUGAACAGCCUUCAGCUUCCGGGCGCCCGCCGUGAGACAGAACACAUGUUUCCUGAGCCCUCUCCCUCCUCAGCUCCCCCGGCAUGCUGAGGAUAUUAUUAUUAUUUAUUGUUUGCUGAGUGCUGACAGUGUGCUGAGCAUCAGGCCUGGGAGCCCCGGCCCCGCCCACGCAGCUUGCAGUCAGCUAGCCAGGGCGACAGAGCUUCUCAGCAACCCAGAUGUGCCCCCGGCUGCCGGGCCUGGGUGCUCAGGACCCAGCCUCCCGGGGCCUCCUCUCCUGCCCGCCACCCCAGCAGCCCCUGCCCCUGGGCCUCUCACACACCCAGGAGGGAGAUGUGUUUAGUCCAACCAGCCAGACGUUCCAGAGGCUGGGCCUCCAACCCCACAAGCAAUGGG
Molecule: long non-coding RNA, 2757 nt
Organism: Phyllostomus discolor (pale spear-nosed bat)
Lineage: Eukaryota; Metazoa; Chordata; Mammalia; Chiroptera; Phyllostomidae
Exons: 3
Source: RefSeq, a predicted model, not a curated record